UUCUAACUAAAUUUUAUUUUAAGAGUUCAAUGAUUCAUAACUGGCAUACUACACAGGGUCACAGACAUCUGUUCUGGUUUGAUGCAAUUCUCUGUUGUUGCAAUGGCGAUCUUAAUUGUCCAUCGAGUCCUUGUAGCCACUGAUUUAGUAGUGGUAGAUGAGGUCUGUGUACAUAUGUGCUGUCAUGUUCAGGGAAUGAAGCAUGGCUUCUCCUUGUUUGUUGAAUUUGAACACACAUAAUCCUCCAUUAUUUAUAUCCACAGAACGAAACCUGAAUCAAUAUAAAAUUAGACCUGUCAACAAUAGUGGCUGAAGAAAUUACACAUAAUCCUCCAUUAUUUAUAUCUACUGAACGAAACCUGAAUCAAUAUAAAAUUAGACCUGUCAAUAAUAGUGGCUGAAGAAACCAUCUUUUAUAUGUACUACAAUUUAAUUGUAAGAAUAGAUUAAAGAAUACAUGUAAUUUUCAUAGUGACGAAAGAAAGUUUUGGUAUACGCUUGGGUUGAUUUUAAUAUCUGUAGGAACAUUUGGCUUGGCAGCUGUUAAAACUAAAGGGUUAUUUUAAUUUUCUGUGCGGAAUAUCAUUAGAGUUAAUCGUAUAGGGGAUAUGGGAAUAAGAUAACAAGACUCUUUU
RNAcentral lists this long non-coding RNA (635 nucleotides) under Nicotiana benthamiana. Its description in RNAcentral is "long non-coding RNA (NBEN_LNC011066)". Lineage: Eukaryota; Viridiplantae; Streptophyta; Magnoliopsida; Solanales; Solanaceae. The record is from RNAcentral.